GGGAGAAGGCAGCUAUCUACAACUCAAGACCUCAUCAGACACUAACUCUUCUGGCACUGUUAUCUUAGACUUCUGACUUUCAGAAGUGUGAAAAGAUAAAUUUCUGUCGUUUAGGUUACCAAGUUUGUGGCAUUUUGUGAUGGCAGCCUGAGGAGACUAUUAGGUAGACAUUUUGAUGAGCCAUUGAACAAGAUGCCUUUUCUUCUUA
RNAcentral lists this long non-coding RNA (208 nucleotides) under Pan troglodytes (chimpanzee). RNAcentral's name for it is "long non-coding RNA NONPTRT012958". The record is from RNAcentral. Lineage: Eukaryota; Metazoa; Chordata; Mammalia; Primates; Hominidae.